Molecule: long non-coding RNA, 232 nt
Organism: Anopheles maculipalpis
Lineage: Eukaryota; Metazoa; Arthropoda; Insecta; Diptera; Culicidae
Exons: 2
Source: RefSeq, a predicted model, not a curated record
GCAGGAAAUAAAUCCAAAAAUCUGCGUGCAGAGAGAUAGAGCGCUAAGCAAGGACAUCUUUGCGAACUAGAUAAAAAGUUCGUAAGGAUCUUACAGAUUGUUGCUGCUGUUGGUAGCAGCAGCACACUGCAGGCAUAGUGUUUUCCAGCUUAUGGUAAAACUAUUCUCGGUGUAACGCGUGUGCUUGGAAAACGAAACCGGUCGUGGUUGUGUGAUCUAACGAUCGAACACG